RNAcentral lists this ribosomal RNA (237 nucleotides) under uncultured bacterium. RNAcentral describes it as "partial 16S ribosomal RNA". It matches the Rfam family "Bacterial small subunit ribosomal RNA", at positions 118 to 347 of the family's 1533-position model. The record is from RNAcentral.
UGAGGAACAUGACCUUCGGCGGGGGAGUAGCCGGCCCAACGGCCGGGUAAUACCGCGUACGACCACUUUGGGACAUCCCUGGGUGGUGAAAGCAGCAAUGCACCGAUGGAGGAUCUCGCGGCCUAUCAGCUUGUUGGUGAGGUCACGGCUCACCAAGGCGACGACGGGUANCUGGUCUGAGAGGAUGAUCAGCCACUAGUUGGGACUGAGACNCGGCCCAGACCUUGACCGGGGAGG